This 65-nucleotide transfer RNA is filed under the name Marmota marmota marmota (Alpine marmot). It matches the Rfam family "tRNA". From Rfam's summary of the family: Transfer RNA (tRNA) molecules are approximately 80 nucleotides in length. Their secondary structure includes four short double-helical elements and three loops (D, anti-codon, and T loops). Lineage: Eukaryota; Metazoa; Chordata; Mammalia; Rodentia; Sciuridae. The record is from Rfam by way of RNAcentral. RNAcentral also lists the same sequence under 3 other names.
GAUGUAGCUCAGUGGUAGAGCACUUGCCUAAUAUGCAUGAAACCCUGGGUUCAAAUCUCAGCAUC